AGAGAACAAAGCGCCUGUGUUUAUUCCGUCACAGUGAAGAGCACUACCUCUCUCAGUGCAAUGAGAUCACUGAAUGCCCACCUGAGCGACUUAUCAAAUGGAUAAGAAAUGGCAAGAGAUGCUGGAAAUGCGGACGCACCAGCCACAAUUGUAAUGAGUGCACACUGAAGAAACCAUGCGGGGAGUGUGGGGAUGUGCACCUCAGAGUUCUCCAUCGCAUAGCAGAGCAGGGCCCGAGCAUCAUGCUAGUUACAACAGCAAGCGACCGCAUCUACGUGACACCACCUAGCCCUACAGGACGUGUCUUUCUAAAGGUCACCCCCGUGCUACUAUGGAAAGGCGAGAAGUCUAUACAAACCUACGCCAUCCUUGAUGAUGGGGCACAGCGCAGCAUUAUUCUCCCUGCGGCGGUCCAGCAACUAGGCCUACAAGGAAAGAAGGAGGUUAUGGCCCUUCGAACCAUUCGACAUGAUGUUACUCAAAUGGAGGGACGAUCAGUCCAGUUUCAGCUUUCAUCCCAGUCCAAACCAAACGAAAGGUACAACCUAGCCGGUGUAUUCUCUGCACCUCUCCUGACUCUGACUGAGCAGACAUACCCGAUCAAGAGACUUCAGCAGAGCUAUUGUCACUUGCGGGGUAUUCCACUUCCAUCAUUUAGUAAGAUUCAGCCUCUACUCUUAAUCGGAUCUGACUACCCAGGUUUAAUUGCUGCGAAGGAACCCAUUAGAUUGGGCCCCGAUGGCGGACCAGCUGCUGUACACACGCAGCUCGGUUGGGUGCUGCAAGGACCAGAUGGGCUUCUUCUGCACCAGGUAUCGCCUCAACAGUGCUUACUCACUUCCCUUUCUGCAGCGCGAGAUCCAAUUCUCCAACAGGUCGAACAGCUGUGGCAGUUGGACAUUCUUCCUUACCGCAACGAGAAGCUGGUAAUGCGUUCACGACAAGACCAACUUGCCAUAGAACUGCUGGAGAGCAGAACACAGCGUGUGAAAGUGGAUGGAACAUGGCGU
RNAcentral lists this long non-coding RNA (1010 nucleotides) under Sinocyclocheilus anshuiensis. Its description in RNAcentral is "lncRNA (ENSSANG00000007722.1)". The record is from RNAcentral. Lineage: Eukaryota; Metazoa; Chordata; Actinopteri; Cypriniformes; Cyprinidae.